UACGUAGGUGGCAAGCGUUGUCCGGAUUUACUGGGCGUAAAGAGCGCGCAGGCGGUCAGAUAAGUCGAAUGUGAAAGCCCCCGGCUCAACUGGGGAGGGUCAUUCGAUACUGUUCGACUCGAAGGCAGGAGAGGGAAGUGGAAUUCCCGGUGUAGUGGUGAAAUGCGUAGAUAUCGGGAGGAACACCGGUGGCGAAGGCGACUUCCUGGCCUGUUCUUGACGCUGAGGCGCGAAAGCUAGGGGAGCAAACGGG
Molecule: ribosomal RNA, 253 nt
Filed under: uncultured bacterium
Lineage: Bacteria
Description: partial 16S ribosomal RNA
Rfam family: Bacterial small subunit ribosomal RNA
Source: RNAcentral